Molecule: ribosomal RNA, 478 nt
Filed under: uncultured bacterium
Lineage: Bacteria
Description: partial 16S ribosomal RNA
Rfam family: Bacterial small subunit ribosomal RNA
Source: RNAcentral
GGUGAACGCUGGCGGCGUGCUUAACACAUGCAAGUCGAACGGGAAACCUUUUAAUGAAGCUUCGGCAGAUUUAGCUGGUUUCUAGUGGCGGACGGGUGAGUAACGCGUGGGUAACCUGCCUUAUACAGGGGGAUAACAGUCAGAAAUGACUGCUAAUACCGCAUAAGCGCACAGGACCGCAUGGUCCGGUGUGAAAAACUCCGGUGGUAUAAGAUGGACCCGCGUUGGAUUAGCUUGUUGGUGGGGUAACGGCUCACCAAGGCGACGAUCCAUAGCCGGCCUGAGAGGGUGAACGGCCACAUUGGGACUGAGACACGGCCCAGACUCCUACGGGAGGCAGCAGUGGGGAAUAUUGCACAAUGGGGGAAACCCUGAUGCAGCGACGCCGCGUGAAGGAAGAAGUAUCUCGGUAUGUAAACUUCUAUCAGCAGGGAAGAUAGUGACGGUACCUGACUAAGAAGCCCCGGCUAACUACGUG